GACGAACGCUGGCGGCGUGCUUAACACAUGCAAGUCGAACGGAAAGGCCCUGCUUUUGUGGGGUGCUCGAGUGGCGAACGGGUGAGUAACACGUGAGUAACCUGCCCUUGACUUUGGGAUAACUUCAGGAAACUGGGGCUAAUACCGGAUAGGAGCUCCUGCUGCAUGGUGGGGGUUGGAAAGUUUCGGCGGUUGGGGAUGGACUCGCGGCUUAUCAGCUUGUUGGUGGGGUAGUGGCUUACCAAGGCUUUGACGGGUAGCCGGCCUGAGAGGGUGACCGGCCACAUUGGGACGGAGAUACGGCCCAGACUCCUACGGGAGGCAGCAGUGGGGAAUAUUGCACAAGGGGCGGAAGCCUGAUGCAGCAACGCCGCGUGCGGGAGGACGGCCUUCGGGUGGUAAACCGCUUUCGCCUGUGACGAAGCGUGAGUGACGGUAAUGGGUAAAGAAGCACCGGCUAACUACGU
RNAcentral lists this ribosomal RNA (467 nucleotides) under uncultured bacterium. RNAcentral's name for it is "partial 16S ribosomal RNA". It matches the Rfam family "Bacterial small subunit ribosomal RNA", at positions 28 to 506 of the family's 1533-position model. The record is from RNAcentral.